GUGAGACUGUGAAUUCUUCAAAAGCAGGUACUGUGUUUAAUGAAGUGUGCCCAGGACUUUGCUCAGUGACUGGAUGACACAGUAGGAGUAACAAGAAAGUUCACAUGGGUGAACCGUGAAGCAUUUUCUAAAACAAGGUGCAGCAAUCAGUUGAGUGAAUUUGUCACCAGAGCUUAUGUUUUCUGAAAGAACCCUAUCCUCAGGCAGUUGUUCCUAAGAGCCUUUUCCUUUCCCUUGAAGAUUCCACAAAUAUGUCAGCGCUGGAAAUGAUCCUUUGGCUUUGAACUAUGUGAAGACUGCAGAAGGACUGGUUGGUCAGGCUGCAUUUGUAUCCUGGGUCCACAAGACAUCGUUUCCUUAAAACCAAUCCCCCUGAUUUUGCUAAGUGUCUGCAAGCCUAAUAUUUCAUGGAUGUUUGACAAGGACCCCGUCUUUAGCUGAACUAAGGAGAAAGUCCUGCAACACACACAUGGAGCUCAGCAAACGGAGGAUGUAGUAGAUGAAGAAACUGAGGUCCAGAGAAGUUAAACGACCUUCCUAAGAUUACACAGCUUAGUAAGUGGCAGAACCACAGCUGGAAGCCAGGUCCUUCCUCACGCAAGUCCUGGCUCAUUCAUUCCUCUUCCAAAGACUUGCUGAGCACCUUCUAGGUGCCAGAUGCGGUGCUGGCUCCUGGGGACAUGGGAGUGAACAGGCCAGGCGUGGCCCUGAACCAUCAAAUAGACAACCACAGAAAUAACAACAACAAAGACAAAACCGGGCCCUUCCACACAGUAGCUGGAACACAAAGGAAGAUCAGCCAAGCCUCAACAUAAUCUCAUAAAAAUUCUUCAAAUAUCCCAUUGUUAUGGAUUCAUACAUCAGGAAAGCAGAUGCCAAGAACCUGAACACCUUCUACUGGUAACAUAUAUUUUGGCGAGCCAGCCUGGAGACAAGACCACUAUGGGCAACUUCCUGUCUAUUCUACCUGGUGUCACUGUGGACAACUUCCUAUCUAUUCCACCCGAUUCACCGCUUGGCUACAUCCUCCACCAUUGGGAUGAAUUUGACCCUAACAAUCUAAAGAAAAGGCAUAUGAUUUUUUACUGCAAUAUUGUUUGACACAAUUAUGAGCUGCCCAAUCCGGAACAAUGGGCAGUCAAUGGUAGCCUUAAUUAUGAUACCAUCCUGUAUCUAGACCUAUUUUACAAGAGGCAGGGCAAAUGGUCAGAAGUCCCACAUAUACAGGCCUACAUGACCCUAUACGAAGACCUAAGAAUCUAGGAAACUCCCAGAACCCAUCCCCCGAAGGAAAGUUCUGGGGCAGAACUAGAUAUUAUAGAUGAACCCCCUUUUACAAGGGAUACCUGUCUCUCAGAGUGAGCAGUGACUGUCCCCAUAUAACCCCUCACCAAGUGCUCCUGAGGCUGAAACCCAGGGGCAAACAUGGGGAACCCUACUAAGUCCCCCUCACACUUGGAGGGGAACACUGUAUUCAACUCUCUAUCCAGCCCUGCUACUCUCAGAGAAAUAGCAGGGGCUGAGGGGCCAAUCCUAGUGUGGGUCCCCUUCUCUAUGAUUGAUAUACAACAAUGUAAGGAAAAGCUAGGAAGCUAUUCUGAGGAUUCCGGGAAGUUUGCAGAUGGGUUCCAAACUUUGACCUUAGCCUUUGAUCUCUCAUGGAGAGACGUUCAAUUCACUCUAGCAACCUGUUGCACCUCCUCGGAAAAGGAACGAAUCUUUGAGGCUGCCCUCCGAGAAGUGGACGAAUUAUUCACCCAAAACCGUAAAGGCAGUCACCCAGGCCCAGCCACAGUUCCCACUACGCAUCCUAAUUGAGACCAAGACACCCCCGCAGGAAGGAACAACUGGGCUAAAUUUCUUGAGGCUCUUGGAGGAAUGAGAAAGGGAAUAACUAAGGCAGUAAAUUAUGAUAAAGUAAGGCAGAUUACACAAGGCAGGGAGGAAAACCCAGCUGUGUUUUACGGCAGGCUGCGGGAAGCCUUUAAAAAAUAUAUACUAAUUUGGUCCCUUCCUCUCCUGAAGGCAAGUUAUUAAUGGCACAACGUUUCAUUAGCCAAUCCACACCAGACAUUAGACGUAAGCUCCAAAAGCUACACAUGGGGCCACAAACUAACCAAAAUCAGCUUCUUGGUACUGCCUUCAUGGUGUAUAACAAUCGUGACCUGGAGGAAGGAGAAGGGAAACAGAGUAAAGAAAAACGGCAAGCCAAAAUUAUGUUAGCCAUCACUGGUGAUGCCCUAAAUGCACAAAGAUUGUCCAAGGGAAACUCAAAGGGCCAUAAGGAUAAUGCCAGCAAAGGCUCUUGCUUCAAAUGCAAUAAAAGUGCGAUUGGGCACAGGAAUCCACUAAGCCCCCGCCAGUCCCCUGCCGUCAAUGUAAAAGCACCAGUUGUGGCUCCUGGCCCUGGAGAAUUGACUGUCCCUGCUCCCACCAAGGGGCUCAGUCAGUCAAAACUCUGGCAGUGCACAAGGAGGAAUCAGAUGAAGACUGAAGGGGCCUGGGGCCUUCCUCACUGCCCCGUCUAGGAACAUUGUAAUUACUACUGAGGAACCCUGGGUAACUCUGGACAUCAUGGCCACCCAAAUUCAGUUUUUAUGUGAUACCAAGGUGAAUUAUUCUGUACAACUGCUUAUGCAGGAAAACUUUCCUCCCGGUCCAUGAGUGAUAUUGGAUGGAAGGGAAGCCACAAACAAGAUUCUUACUCCUCCUUUGGUUUGUCAAUUUGAGAAACAAAUCUUCCAACAGGAAUUUUUAGUAGUACCAAGCUGCCCAAUUCCCCUGUGGGAAAGAGAUAUUAUGGUGAAAAUAGUGACACUACUGCAAUUUAAGCAAUAUUAGCAGGUGAAACUGCUAAUAGUAAGAAAUAAGGCAAUGUCCCAGACCAUGUCAAUAAACAGGUUAACCCACUGGCAUGGUAUACUGGAAACCCAGGGAAGGCUAAAACAGCAGUGCCAGUCAAAAUACAGCUUAAAGACCCCAGCCAUUUUCCCAAUGGAAAACAAUACCCAGUUGAACAGGAAGCAAGCAAAGGUCUAGCUCCCAUAGUUGAGAUAUUACUUACCCAUGGACUCUUAAAACCCUGCAAUUCUCCCUGCAAUACCCCCAUCUUACCUGUUCUCAAGCCUGGGGGGAAUACCAGCUAGUACAGAACCUCAGAAUAAUGAAUGAGGCUGUUAUCCCCGUCCACCCAUUGGUGGCAGAUCCAUAUGCCCUCCUGGCUCAGGUGCCAGGGCAUGCAAAAUGGUUCUCAGUCCUAGACCUUUCUUCUCCAUUCCUCUGGCCCCGAGCCCCCCAGUACCUUUUUGCUUUCGAAUGGGAAAAUCCUAAUACCAGAUAAAAACAAUACACUUGGACAGUGCUUCCUCAGGGCUUUCGGGAUAGCCCCCACUUCUUUGCCUGAGCAUUAGAGCGGGAUCUGAGGGAUUUCAAGUUAGAAAAUGGAGGUAUUCUUCAGUAUGGGGAUGACCUUGUGUGUAGCCCAACCUAGGAGGUUUCUGACCAAAAUACUAUAAAAACUUUGAAUUUCCUGGCAGACAGAGGAUACAAAGUGUCCAAAAAGAAGGCUCAGAUUACCCUCCAAUGGGUCCACUAUUUAGGAUAUGUCUUAACACCCGGAACCCGGCAAAUAUCCCCAGAAGGAGUGCAAGCUAUAUGUGGUUUGGCCGCGUGCACCACCCCCAGCCCCCACCCUGACCCACCUCCAAGCAGCAGCUUUGUUCCUUUUUGGGGAUGGCCGGGCUUUGGAGAAUAUGAGUACCAAAUUUUGGGCUCAUAGCAAAGCCCCUAUAUGAAGCAACAAGGGGGCCUGAAAAUGAGCUAAUGGAAUGGACCCCGGAAAUGAGGAAAGCCUUUGCCAAGUUAAAACAGGUUCUCACCCAGGCUCCUGCUCUUGGUAUCCCAGACCUAAUUAAGGCCUUCUCCUUGUAUGUAGCAGAGAAGAGGGGCAUAGCUGUGGGAGUGCUAGCCCAGAAAUUAGGAUCAGAACCCAGACCAACCGCCUACUUCUCAAAAAAGUUGGACGGAGUGGCCUCAGGAUGGCCAAGUUGCCUGCGGGCAAUAGCAGCCACUGCUGUUAGUGGAGGAAGCCACUAAAAUCACCCUAGGGCAACCACUGGAAGUUCUAACGCUCCAUCAGGUAAAGUUAGUCUUAGAAAUAAAGGGACACAUCUGGAUGACAGGGGAAAUGUUAACUAAAUACCAGCCCAUGCUCCUAGACAAUCCAGAUAUAACUCUUAAAACCUGCAACACUUUAAAUCCAGCUUCAUUGCUGCCCACAGGCCCAAUAAUUGAUCAUUCCUGUGAGCAGGUCAUUGCACAUACAUAUGUUAGCCAGCCUGAUUUAAAAGAUGAGGCUCUCCCAGAUUCUGAAGCUGACCGGCUCACAGACGGCAGUAGUUCUUUGUCGAAUGGGGAGCACAGAGCUGGAUAUGCAGCAGUAAAUCAUGACACAAUUAUUGAAGCCCAGCCAGUGCCCCCUGGCACAUCAGCACAAAAGGCUAAAAUCAUUGAUCUUACUCAAGCAUUAAUGUUGGGACAAGGGAAAAAACUUAACAUCUAUACAGAUUCUAAAUAUGCAUUCCUUGUGGUUCAUGCUCAUACCGCCAUCAGGAAAGAAAGGGGAUUACUUACUAGCAAGCACUCCCCUAUAGAGCAUGGACCUGAAAUUCUGCAGCUAUUGAAGGCAAUACACCUGCCAAAGGCCAUAGCUAUCAUUCAUUGUAGGGGGCAUCAAAGGGACUUAACCCCUAUAGCACAAGGGAAUGGAAAGGCUGACGGAAGCCAAAGCAAAAGCCCUCAGCGUGCAAUCCCAACAGAUCCUAGCACUGCUUCCUUUCUACAAUUCCCCAGUAGAACCCAAAUACACACCACAGGAAGAACAGCUAAUAAAAAAAGCAAGGGAGACAAAAACAAGGAUCCUGGUGGCAUAUGGAGCCAAAAAUAUAUCUCCCUCAGGCAGCCCAGUGGAGAGUUAUAAAAGCCCUGCAUGACUCUUUCCAUGUGGGGAGGGAUGCGGCUCUGGCCAUGGUAAACAAGUUCUUUACUGGGUUUAACUCAGCUUCAAUGGCUAAGCAGGUCUGUCAAGCCUGCUCACUGUGUGCAUUUAACAAUCCAGGCAUCAAAAUGCCCCCUCUAAUAAAACCAGUCCAAAGGAGGGGAACUUAUCCAGGGGAAGACUGGCAGUUAGACGUCAUCCAUAUGCCAGCUUGCAGAGGAUACAAGCUUUUGUUAAUACUAAUAGAUACUUUUAGGUUGGGUCAAAGGUUACCCCAGAAAAGGCUAAUGAGGUUCUAAGGUCCUCUUAAAAGAAAUAAUUCCCCAGUUUGGGUUACCUCAGGGUCUCCAAAGUGAUAAUGGCUAAUCCUUUAUCUCCCAAAUAACUCAAGGGGUUGCUAAGGCUCUUGGAAUAAAAUACUAUUUACAUUCAGCCUGGAGGCCCCAAUCCUCUGGAAAAGUGGAAAGGGUUAACCAAACUCUAAAAUAAGCACUAGCUAAACUAUGUCAGGAAACAUCAGAAACUUGGGUUAGCUUAUUGCUCACAGCCCUUUUAAGAAUUUGUAAUACCCCUAGCUCAAAAAUUAACAGAAGCCCAUAUAAAAUGUUAUACAGAAGGCCAUUCUUAACUAAUGAUUUAAUUAUUGACCCAGAAAGAGUUGGUGUAAUUAAAUACCUAGUCAACCCAGAACAAUUCCAGCGGGUUUACAAGAGUUUGGAAUUCAAAGGCUCCUCACACUUGGAACUAACCAGCAACCCAAAAUCAGGCCAGGAGAUAGGGUACUUGUUAAAACAUGGAAUGAGGGAUCACCUGCCCAACAAUUACAACCCCAAUAGAAGGGACUUUUUUCAGUAAUACUGGCCACGUCUUCUGUGGUCAAAGUACUAGUAUUAGAUAGCUGGAUACAUCUUUCAAGGAUCAAACCAUCAAUACCAGAAGCUCCAGACCAGGAACCUGAAGUUCCCAUCAGCCAGUACACCUGUGAACCAGUGGAGGACCUGAAGUACCUGUUUAAAAGAUAGCCAAAAGAUAAGUAAAUGCCUACCAACUUUCUUUGGUGUCUUUGUUGCAUAGUUACUGUGGGCUGGAAAAUAGUAGCCAUUUUUAUCUUUGCAGUUUAAUUGCCUUCUUCCAAAUAGAUAAAAAUCACUUCCUUUGUAAUAAUUAAACAGAAUUUAAAAAAUACAUUUCUAUGACAAAUAUUCCUGAUGGCAUAAGUAUCCACCCCAAGGUUCCCAUUAAAUCUUUUAACCUAAAGUAUUUCCUCUCACCUAGAGAUCAUCGAGCUGUGUGACAAGGGUGCCAGCCACUCCAGGUGAAGACACCACCCCAGGCCAUCAAGGAUCUUCCCUACCUUCACUAAACAGAGCAGGGUGAAAGUUGUGUGAUCCCCAAUAGGUAGGGACUACACCCCAAGUCAGCAGGAAGCAGUUACAGAAGAAAGACCAUUGGUCCCUCUGCUUCCCAUAAAGAUUUAUGGGGAUCACAGCUUUCACGGGGGAGAUGAGGCAAGAGAAUAGGGCAUGCAGGCAGGGUACUUGAGGCCAAUCCACGCUGACUUCCUAGAACUGAAUUAAAUGAAAGCUCCUCAGCAAUGACAGGAAUGUGAAUGGCUUUGUAACUUCUUCCUCUCCAUUAAUGCUAUUUCCACUUUGUAACUUCACUUUCAUCCUCUCCAUUUACAUAGAUCACACACCAAGUAACAUCCUCUCCAUUUACAGUAGGGCGCAUUCCGAGUCAAUGACUCUGACUGCACUUCGUUCUCCUCAUUUACAUAGAACAUUCGCCAAGUAACCAAUGGGAAACCUCUAGAGUAUUGAAACUCCAGAAAAUUCCGUAAGUGGGGCUCUUGAGCGUCUACACUCGGGUCGCUCCCACACUGUGGCGUGUACUUUUAUUCUCAAUAAAUUCCCGCUUUUGCUUUCCUCGUUC
This 6928-nucleotide long non-coding RNA is filed under the name Homo sapiens (human). RNAcentral's name for it is "long independently transcribed non-coding RNA 2700, transcript variant 15 (LINC02700)". Lineage: Eukaryota; Metazoa; Chordata; Mammalia; Primates; Hominidae. The record is from RNAcentral.